This is a long non-coding RNA of Lates calcarifer (barramundi perch), 7409 nucleotides long. RefSeq lists it as uncharacterized. The record is from RefSeq and is a predicted model, not a curated record. Lineage: Eukaryota; Metazoa; Chordata; Actinopteri; Centropomidae. The transcript has 4 exons.
GGAAAAGGCAACAUGGACAGCGACACCGUACCUGUUGAUAAAUCAACUUCAGCAAAUUUUAAAUCAGGAAGACAGCAUGUGGGGAAACCAGGCUGUGAGAACGGGUGAAAAGAGAAGCACGGCAGUUCACUACCUUCACCCACUUCCCUCUUCCUCUCAACUGCCAGGCCGUCGCCCUCGGUGCUGCCUCUCAAAGGUCUGUCUUUUUUUGAUUUAUAUUAUUAUAACAAUAUCACACUUAGUUUUAGCCAUUGCUGAAGUCCAGUUACUUUUACCUUCACAUUUAACUCUUUUUUUUGCUAAUGUCAGACACUGGGUUAACUUAGGAUAGGAAUAAGUUCACGUCAGCAUCCAAAGCUGGUGAUACUACCACAACAUAUUGUUUUUGUUGUCUUUGUUUUUUUGGGCUGAGUCAGCGUCUUGUCAUCCCAGCAUCUCCACCUCUUCAGUGCAGCAGUUUUCUUUACCUCAGCAUUUCAACAUCUUACAUUAAGUCUCUCAGUUGUGGAAGCACAUCAUCAUCCCUCACUUACUUACUGCCAACACUUCCAUUUAAGGACACCUACGUAGACAUUUUCAUUUAAUGUAAACUCUUACAUAGGCAUGGAUGCACACAAUAAAAGGCUCAGGUGUUUAUAGCAGUAUGCUUUCAGCCUUUUUUGUUCAAUUAACAUUUCUUAUGCCUAAGUCCAUUAGAGACUUUACUGGAUUAGUGGGUUCCCUAACACAUACACAGCCAUAGAAGUAAUGCUGACAUUCCAUUAGUGAUACUGGAUAAAAUUAUUAACGUGUGUAGUGUUAUAACAGAUCAGAUUACAGGCUCUGAAAUGUCUACUUGAUCACUCAAGCUUUAGUUUGAUGUGCAGUCAGCUUCCUGGACAUUAAAAUCUAACAAACCCUGACUGCAGUCCUUUUAGUUUUUUGAAAUCCAUAAAAGUUUUGUGUAAUGUUAAAGUCAAGACCUAAGAGGGUUGGCUAGCACCCAGACAGACUUUUAUGCAGUAAUGUGAACUGUGCAUAGAUUCACAGCCAGGCAGUUAUAGGACAGGGCAUAGACAUUCCUAGAAAGAGCUGAUACAGCUGAUGAAGUGCUACUCAUGUGAUCUCUGGGGAGCUGGCUGCUGUACAUGAGUAAUUCACUGUCUUUUUCCUUUUAACAUAAUGCAUAUACAGUUUUUCAUUUGUUUACAUCAGUAUACAUACACACACACACACACACACACACACAUAUAUAUAUAUAUGUGUGUGUGUGUGUGUGUGUUUAUAAACCUUAUUGAUCAUGGUUUAGGUUAAUGUGCAGGUGGAAACACUGGGUCCAAGAUAUACCCUUGUCACCAUCCCGACAGAAGCGGACCAGUACAAUAUUAGCUCCAUGGCAACGCUGGCCGCCCACACUCCCCUCAGGCUGCGUACAGGGGACAAGAAUGUAUGUGAGUGUGUAUUUAUGUGUGUAUUUAUGUGUGUGUGUGGGGGGGAGCAGAGUAAGAGAGCAGAGGUUGUUAAUUGACCUAUUUUUCAGGCUGUUCAGUUGAAUCGGGAUGAAGGGAGAGACGAUGGGGUUUUUAAUGAUGCCACAUGGGAGCUGUGCUUUGCUUCCACUCCUGACAGGACUUCUACUGUUGCCACUUCCACUGACAUAACUUGGCUACCUGUAACUACUCUGCAUAUUACACUCACAGUCUGGGCCCAGUGCCACUUAUUCGUUUAAUUUCAAGUUCACGCUUUCUUUCUUUCUUUCUUUUUUUUUUUCCUCUCUGACUUUGUUUCUUUGCUUCUCUCUUUCUUUCUGGGUUUCUGUGUCUGUUUUCUGUCAGUGUCACGCCUCAUUAUAUAUGAGGCAGGUCCCAAGUUGUGGUCUCUAGUCCCUUGGAGGAGGAUGCGGAAGAGCUAAAGGUGGAGACAGCCAGCCAGUUAGAGCCAAGGAGCCUUCAGCAGUAUGCCAGCACCGUUGCCAGCAUUCAGGUGGGACUCUGGUAUGUGGUUCAAGACAAAUGAGAUAUUUUUAGCAUCAUAGCCCUUCUCUACAGCUGUCCCCAGACAUCAGGGCUGGGGUUAUUAUUAUAUUAACAUUGUGCAUGAGUGUAUGACCAGUGGCUAGUAUUUGUCAGUGUUUAAAAUUCUGGCUCCUAAUCAGCCAUCAAGGGAGGAAAGGAGGCUGAAAGUGGCCGGUAGCUUCUUUGACUCUGUCCCUCCUUCUCCGCCUCCUCCCCUUCCAUCCGACCCAACACCCUGCCCUCAGUCCCAGUACCCCACAAGCACAGCAAGCUUCUUCGGUUUAAUUUCCUCCGCUCUUUUCUAUCUUGCCUCCCUGCUGCUAGCACUGUACCUUGCUCUGCUUAUCACACACAUGCACUCAUAGACAGACACUGAGAGGUGCACACGUACGAGCACGCACACAAACACACACACACACACACACACACAGGAUUACAUUAGAAUUUCAGAUUCUUUUUAACUCUGCUUUUACCUGACACCCCGCCCCCCAACCACCUUGUCUACCUCCUUCCAUUCGUCCCCAGUCGCAUGCCUGAAAAGUGAUGCUGGUUUCCUUAGCAACCGUCUGUGUCUGUAUCAGAGGGGAGUUUCCUCACACGGACUAGAAAGGAUUCCAAGCUAAGGGGGGAAUCACAAAAAACGCACGCAUGCAUUUGUGAAAGUGUUGAUUAGCAAUCAGCGUGUCCUUCACACUGACUGUUUAUUUUUAAUGAGCUCGGAGAACACUGUUGAUUGGGCAAUUCCAACAGGAACAGGCUUGAGUAUAUUGCAAAUUGGACACUCAAGUCAAAUUGAUUUUGUAGCACGUGAUGUAAUAUGGGAAAAAAUCAUUGUGAAUUCCCAGAGAUUUCAUUAUAUUUUUACAUUGAUUGUCACACUGAAUGGGCUGUGGGUUACGAGUAGUUUUGCUGUGAUUUACUGUACUGUAUUGAUCGGCUGUUCUACAGGAUGACAUAGUUUCUUAGGAUGACGUGCAUUAAGUACACUUUAGAUACUGAAUGAUGUCUCAUAUUUCCUAAUUUAACUAGCUACACAAAGAGAAGGCUAUUUGUGUUGCAUAUAUAAUAUAAUAUGUUUGGUUUUUCUGCAUCUUUGUGUGGAGCUUCUAUGUUCCCUGACAUGUUUGUGUCUGUCUAUGCACUGCUCUGGUGCUCUCACUUUCCAGAGGAAUGUAGGUCAGGUGGACUGGAGACUGUAAAUUGCCUGUUGUUAUGAGUGUGUUUGUGUGUUCAUUGCCUUCCACGAAAUGCAUGUGUGGAUUGAUCCCAGGUCUGUGAGACCUGGAGUGGGAAGGUGUGGGUAUAGACAAUGAACAAUUAAAUGAAUAGAUGGGGAAAUGAACAGAAAAAUGAAUGAAUGGAGCUAAAUUGACCUUUGAACAUUUCUAUCAGUCCUCUGUCCUGUACCAUAGCACAGUCAUUCAGUUUCAUCAUUUUUGCAAGUGUUAUAUUUGUGUACCUUUGAAACACAUCCUUUAUAAAUUAUUGCCCAAAUUCAGACUUUAUCUACUUGUGUUUUGUAUAAAGUAGCAGUUAACAUAUACAUGAGUACUAUAUACUCAAAUGCAUUUCUCUGACUGCAGAACUUUUCUGACAGGAGAAAUAAUCAAUUUCCCGCUUGUGUGUAAACACACUCGAUAACAACUUGGCUAACCAAAAUAACUGAGUGGCAUCUGGCUCGUGAUUAUAUAUUUGCAUUUUCUGAGCCUCCUCCCCGUGCAAACUAUUGACGACAAUCCUAACGCAUUAUCUGUCUCCUCCAUUAGGAGCGAGCCUUCAAUUAGCCAACACAAAGCAGUGUGCUCAAACAUUCUCAGUGUUUGGAGCAGCCUGUGUUUACAUCUUCUCCGUGCCACCCUGUUUGUCUCCCUCCAGCUCAUUUCCCUCCAUCACUCUACUCGCUGCUUUGCUAAAUGAGCUGCACAAAUAUUUUGGUAAUUUCAUAUUUUUACCACCAAAUAGAGCUGUGCCAGAAAACGAUCUAUCCUCACCGUCCUUCUGUAGCUUUAUCCUCUUUUCCUCUGUCAUUUAUUAAGGGUGUAGAGCUGCAGGUAGCUGGGUUUAACCAAGAGGGGGUGCAGUUUGACAACCUCACUUCCUUUGCAGUGACUCCUCAAACUCCUCUUCAUCUCCCCUAAAUGUUCUUUCACACAUGCUGGUGCUGGCAGACGCACACUAACAGCACGCAGACUAUUUAAGCUACACGGUCAGAAUAAUUAAUGCAGGACAUGAUCGCAGACCCAGGAAUGAUUAAUUUCAAGCUGUGACAAAGUGACAUGACUGAUUGUUUUUACCAGGUCGUCGGGCUUUUAACGCUCACAGCCAUUCAGGAAUAGCAUCCAUCACAGUGACCCUCACUCCUGCAGAGAUGUGUGUAGUGUGUGUGUGUGUGUGUGUGUGUGUGUGUGUGUGUGUGUGUGUGUUUGUGUGUUUCUGUCUGCAUGCAUGCAAGCUUUGUGCACGAGUGCAUGUGCAUGGUAUAAAUAUGUCUGUGUGGGUCUAUAAGCAUAUGUUUACUAAUUUAUCAUCUUUGCGGGUGCAGAGCUCAGGGGCCACUGCUCUGACUGCCUCUGUGAGAUGGUGAAAGAUAAUGCAGCAGAGCACCCUAAACCUCCUGAACCUCCCUGAUGUAACCCAUGAGGGAUACAUGCUUACACUUAUAUUUCAUCAUAUCUAUCCACUUUUCCUGAGACAUGGAUGAUGUAAAAACCUGUUCAACCAUUUCUUUUGCUGUCCCUGUUUCCUUUGGUCUCUCUUUAUAGCAACAUCUAACUGUAGUAGGUAAGUUUAAACUCAUUUCCACACAUUUUAGAAAGAUAACUGCUACUGUACAACACAGUAAACGUUAAAAAGGAUGCUGUGAUAUAGCAAAGGCGGCUCAGAAUAAUAAAAACUGUGGAAAAUUGGGAGAUUAAGCAAAUGACCUGCUGAUUGUACUACAUAUCAUCCAGAAUCAUCAAAGUCAUUACAAUUACAUAAGCAAUUAAACUGUGAGCGUGCUGCAAAUGGUGUUUUUACAAUCCAAUUACCACCAGCACAUUUUGGCAUUAAUAAUUUUUUAUCCAACAGAGUAGUGAGUUGGAAGUCUUACCUCAAUAAGCACCUGCUGUUUUUGACUCUCAGUCCCUACCUUGUACCUGCAGAGGGGCCUUAGAUGCCUAGAAAAAGUUUUCCUAAAGAGUUUGAUCAAUUCUAGCUACGGAAUAUAAAUUUUAGCCACAAAUCAAGCAUCUGUUUGUCAUAACCACUGUGUGUUGUUGUCUCGUGUACCAGAAAUGCCAUCUGCCCUGUGCACCAUGCUCCGUGUCGGCGUGUGGCAGGACUUGGCCUGUCACUGUUGACUCCCAGGGGGUUCUGACAAGUAGCCCAGACAGUGGCUGCGCUCUGUUGGAGGUCGUUGCCAUGGAGACGUGGGGUCAGCCAGACCGUGCUCGUCAGUGUUCAGCCCUUCGCUAUCGAUCCUCCUCUCCGCCUCCCACUCAGAGAUGACCUGGCACAGAUGACUUCAGAUUUUGACAGCCACUCUUUGGCGUCCAGCCUUUGUCUGCAAGAUAAAGAGUUUUGUGGUGAACACCUCCCUCACUGACUACACAGCCCAAUAUGUCCUACCUGCUUUAUCUGCCUGGAUGAUGCACUGAGAUAUGCUCCCCUGUUUGUGUAGUGUUGUCUCUUCAGUAGCAUACAAACAGCAGCGUGCAGCAGAUCACUAGGGUGUUUUAUUAGGAGUUUCAGGGCAGCCCAAAGGCAUCCUGGGACUGUGAUGGUCUUCUAGAGGCUAGAGGAGGGAUAGUUUACAGUGUAAAUGUACAAAUUUAUAGAGACUGUGUAUCUAUGGGACUGUCUAGCCUUAUCCUUUCACAACUCUUUGACCAAACAGCCAGACACUACUACCCAAGUUAUUCAACACUAACCUGAGAUAGAUGAAAAAAAAAAAAAACUUUAGUGCUUGUGCAGACACACAUCACAUUUUUUACACUUUAAGAUGCGUGACCAGAAUGAGACAAUGCCAAUCAGCAUUCCCAUCCAUAUGCAACUUCAGCUAUUGCUCUUAAUGUAUGUCUAUCAGAUUCAUGCACCUUUUAUCAGAGGAAAGCAUCACAGAGCUAAGCUACACCCUGAGGUUUUGCACUCUAGCACCCCCUACCUACAACUUCACAUUUUACAGUCAGCACACUACAUGUUUAAACACAUAAUCUUUUUACUCAGCACAGUAGAGUUUCAGUGUACUUUCUGACUUUGAUUCACUGCAACUGUGUACAAAUGUGUGUUGUUCCCCUCUCAGGAGAGGUGUGUUUUCCAGCUGCUCUCUGCCGACCCCCUCAUCUCAUCUGUCUCUGUGCCUCUUUGCGGGGUCAGUCUCCUCCCUGUCACAGCUGCUCUCAGGUGUCCCAGAGACGCUGCCCUGCCUCCUGGCAUUCCACUGCUCUGCGUCAGCCCUGUCCCUAACUGCCCCCUGGGUUGAGCUUACCGCGAUGGGCACCAAGGACACGCUCUCAUCCCUCAAGUUAUGGAUGCAAAUGUGAGCCACACGCCAGGAGAGUGUGUAAGCUGCUGGGUCUGGAGCACGAGGGCGUCUCCUGUAUGGAAAUUGGUCUCUGGCUGUAUCCCAAGUGGAAAGAUAAGUAGAAAACAUUUAAACUGUGGAAGGAUGGCAUCGAUGCUUGUUUACAAGUUUGUUAUUUGAUUUCUUCAAUAGGUGAUUGUUGUUGUUGUGUUUUUUUAACUGAUACGUUCCAACUGCCAAGCCUGCGGUCUUCAUCAAAACUGUUGAAGACUGGCUAGACUGGCAGAGAUCCUAAGUCGCCGAUCACAUGGUAACAUGAAAGUGUAGAGUCUGGUUCAAAUCCUGUGAGGUAUCAGGACCCGGAGCAGCAAGAGCCCUACUGGGGGUCGCGUCCACCCUGGCCCUCUGGUUUAUUGGACGGAAAACUAACUACAUUACAAUUCUACUCUAUUACUCAACUUACCUGACUAACUUAGUUAAUCACUUAAUUUCACACUAACCUACUUAAUUUAUUUACUCUUUUACUCAAUUACAUUACAUGAAUGAAUGGAAAAUGACAUGUAUCAGAAUUGCAUACUUUAUUUGUUGUAUAUUGGACACAAGAAAAAUGUUACAUAGCAAUAAGAAUGUUACUGAAUCACUCCUUCUCCUAAUUUAAGUAGCCUUUAUUCAGUGUACAACUCAAUGCUGUCACAUACAGACACUGUGCAGGUGUGGUCUGCAUGCAUAAACAUAAGCAGUGAGUAAGCUGUAGGUCACAAAUCUUGUAAUCAAAGUAGUUUGAUUCGUCUGGUGAGUCCCACUCUUCCCAAGCUACACUAAUUUUCUUUCUUUUUUUUUUUUCUUUUUUUUUGCAACUUCACAAGAUUUCACCCCACAUUACAUUAUCAUUUUCACAGGACGCUUGCAAG